CCGCUUCCGGCGUCUGGCUCACUUCCGCCAUGGCCUCCUUGGAAGUGAGUCGUAGUCCGCUCAGCUCUCGGCGGGAGCUGGAGGUGCGCAGUACACGACAGGACAAAUAUUCGGUGCUUUUACCCACCUACAACGAGCGCGAGAACCUGCCGCUUAUCGUGUGGUUGCUGGUGAAAAGCUUCUCCGAGAGUGGAAUCAACUAUGAAAUUAUAAUCAUAGAUGAUGGAAGCCCAGAUGGAACAAAGGAUGUUGCUGAACAGUUGGAGAAGAUCUAUGGGUCAGACAGAAUUCUUCUAAGACCACGAGAGAAAAAGCUGGGACUAGGAACUGCGUAUAUUCAUGGAAUGAAACAUGCCACAGGAAACUACAUAAUUAUUAUGGAUGCUGAUCUCUCACACCAUCCAAAAUUUGUUCCUGAAUUCAUUAGGAAGCAAAAGGAGGGUAAUUUUGAUAUUGUCUCUGGAACUCGCUACAAAGGAAAUGGAGGUGUAUAUGGCUGGGAUUUGAAAAGAAAAAUAAUCAGCCGUGGGGCCAAUUUUUUAACUCAGAUUUUGCUGAGACCAGGAGCAUCUGAUUUAACAGGAAGUUUCAGAUUAUAUCGAAAAGAAGUUCUAGAGAAAUUAAUAGAAAAAUGUGUUUCUAAAGGCUACGUCUUCCAGAUGGAGAUGAUUGUUCGGGCAAGACAGUUGAAUUAUACUAUUGGUGAGGUAUGCAACUGGUGCUAAAUAGUCAUGUUCCUGGUAAAGGAGCAGUAAAGUUUAGACUUUUUGUAAUAAAAAGUUUAACUUCAUAACUGCUAAAUUGUGAAGGUCUUCUGGUUGUUUAGAAUGUUCAUGCACAAAGGGUAAAAAUUCACAUUAGUACAUUUGAACAAUAAGAUUUAAAACAUUAACAGUUAGCAUUGUCUUUUAAAUAAUGGAAAGUUCCUGGUACUUUCUCAAUCCUAGCCUUCCUUCUAACUGGUCAGCAUUAUGGACUGAGUCUCUCUGCUUUUCCUUUUGCCACAGCCAGUGUCCACCAUGCUUUAAAAUGAAUGACGAAUCCCAUAUGUCCAUUUCCUGUAAGUGAAGACCAGGAAUUAUAGAGCCAAGGGAGUGGUGAUCUGUAAUACUUAGGGCUAGCUAGUGAGCUCUUAGGGUGGGGAAGACUCUCCUCAUUUACUAGUGAAACUCUUAUUCAUAGCAAGAAACUAGCUAACCUGAAAUGUCACUUCUCCCAUGGAAGUUGCAAGAUGUUUUACUUAAUGCUAAGCUGUUAUAGCUAAAUUUGACAAACAACUGAAAAAUCUAAGCAAAAGGCCAUUUUACUUUUGGAGUAUAAUUUUUCUUUGAAAUGCAAACUGAAACUUGAGUAAACCAAGGUAAUACCUAGGAUCAGUGCUUUUUAAACAGCUGUAGAUUGGUUCAUAUGACCUAUCUUUAGAUGAUGCGCUUAAUUUUAAAGACUUGGAGAUACACAUAGUUGCUUUAAGAAUCCCCUAAUUUUAUAGUUACUUUAAGGACUUCUGUUGUAGGACUAGUCCGAAUUCUGUUGUGUUGGUAAUAUGGUAUACCUGCUAAGCUACCUAAUUUUUUUUGAAGACUGACUUUAACGUAUUUUUUUUUUUUU
Sapajus apella (tufted capuchin) is the source of this 1608-nucleotide RNA transcript. It is a transcript of the gene named dolichyl-phosphate mannosyltransferase subunit 1, catalytic, with no coding region annotated. NCBI's taxonomy places the organism in Eukaryota, Metazoa, Chordata, Mammalia, Primates, Cebidae. The record is from RefSeq and is a predicted model, not a curated record. The transcript has 9 exons.